This is a long non-coding RNA of Chelonia mydas (Green sea turtle), 3637 nucleotides long. RefSeq lists it as uncharacterized. The record is from RefSeq and is a predicted model, not a curated record. Lineage: Eukaryota; Metazoa; Chordata; Testudines; Cheloniidae. The transcript is spliced from 2 exons.
CUGCUAAGGCCUCAACUGGAGUACUGUGUCCAGAUCUGAGCACCACACUUUGGGAAAGAUGUGGACAAAUUGGAGAAAGUCCAGAGGAGAGAAACAAAAAUGAUUAAAGGUCUAGACAACAUGACCUAUGGGGAAAGAUUGAUGAAUUGGGUUCACUUAGUACAGAGAAGAGAGGAGUGAGAGGACAUGAUAGCACUCUUCAAGUAUGUAAAAGGUUGUUAUAAAGAGGGUGAUAAAUUGUUCUUAUCCACUGAGGACAGGACAAGAAGUAAAUUGCAGCAAGGGAGAUUUAGGUUAUACGUUAGAAAAACCUUAACUCUAAGAGUAGUUAAACACUGGAACAAAUUAUCUAGGUUGUGGAACCUCUAUCAUGGAAGGUUUUUAAGAACAGGUUACAGAGUAACAGCCGUGUUAGUCUGUAUUCGCAAAAAGAAAAGGAGUACUUGUGGCACCUUAGAGACUAACCAAUUUAUUUGAGCAUAAGCUUUCAUGAGCUACAGCUCAGUGAGAGAUCCCAGAGAGAUGGGAGAGAUCUCGUGUAGCUCACGAAAGCUUAUGCUCAAAUAAAUUGGUUAGUCUCUAAGGUGCCACAAGUACUCCUUUUCUUUUUAAGAACAGGUUAGACAUGCCUAUCAGGGAAUUAGUCCUGCUUGAAUGCAGGGGGCUGGACAAGACAAGUUAUUGAGGUCCUUCUUGUCCUACAUAUCUGAGAUUCUAUGAUAUGGGAAGAACAAGAGUAUGAAAUUAUUUAAUACCACACAAAUAGCAUGCUAUUUGCGUUUUGAUAAAGCUAUAGAAAAUGAACAUAUCCUCCCUAAAUAGCUGUCCAUAAGUAAUUCCGUCAAGACAUUAUGAUAAAUUAAAUGAAAACAUGAAUAAUUUGUGAAUGUCAAGAUAUAAUUCAAAAUGGAAGAUAUGCAUGGUGGGGUUUGAUAGGGAGGCUUCAACUACACACAAUAGUUGCACCAGUCUAAAACUGGUUUUAGUUGGUGUAAAUCCUGCAUGUGGUACUCUUAAAUCAAUUUACAACUGGCUUACCUUGAUUUAGAAAUUGGAUCUUAUCAGUUGUUCCCUGUGGGGAUCUUGAGCCCCAGCUUUUAUCAUCUAAUAUAUAAUUAGAGAAGAAGCGUAAGGGAACAUUGAGAGCCCAAAGCAUUUUAUGGGGAAGAUGCAUCAGAAAAGAUGCCAGAUUUUCCCAAGUCAUCAUUGACCUAACCAAGAACCUGGGAUGUGGGGUGCUGCAGUUUUCCCUUUAAAGGAGUUCUGGGGAGUUUUGCACUUAGGUGUGGCAAUGUUGAGCAUUGCAAUACUUAGCUUUUAGGUGUCCUGCUGCCUAAUGGAGUCCUCAGCACCCUAGGUCCCCUUAUACGUUCAUAGGGAGAAUUAGGCAUGCAAGAAACAGAUUUACAGAAACCACACUGAGCAGAAAACCACUUAAAUUAGCCAGUAGGAAAUGCCAAGGAGAGGGUGGGUGGCCUAAGCUUCAAGGUAUUCUGGGACACAGCCAUCCAUCCAAAUUCAUGAUCUGGCUGCCCCCAGAUAGGUUUUGGGCAGGUUAGGUAUGUUCUGAGCUUAGCUAUCAGAUCAGACACCACAGGCAAGACAGGUCAGGGAGCACCUAGUAUGAGACUCCUGUCAGGGCUUAGAUGUGUGCUAAGGCACUGGGCAGUUCAUCAGCAUUGAAAUUUAAGUGGUUUUAUGUAUGCCCACUGGUAGAAACUUAAGCAUGUACAGGGUUAGGUGUCAGCUAAGUGGAGGUUUCAAGGAUUUAAGUGGCACCUAGAGAGGCAGGCCCCUAUGUCACUUUGUGCACGUAGCCCUUAGCCCCUGAAAAGGCCUUGACUAGUGAGAAUCAGCAAAUUUGUUACUGCUAAUUUCCUUUCUGAUAGUGUUUCCAAUAAUUCAGGACUUCCGGGCUGCUCUUCUCCCUCUAGCUCCCAGAAGCAGAUCAGUAUUUUCGAGCUGGGUGGAUUGGCCACAACCCUUCUGUUCCUGCUGGCUACCAGGGGAUUUCUUCAAACUUCCUUGGACGCAUCUAAUACUGGACCAAUGUCAACCUAAAACAGGACUCUAAUUUUGAACAGGAAUGGUAAUUUCUAUUUAAAAACAACUUUGCUUUCAUUCACCUGGAUUGGACAAAUAUCCAUGAAAUAUGACUUCUGACCAGGACAGAAAGAAUUGUAAGAAAAUGGUUUCUAAACCAGACAUUUGAAAUUUCCCGAAGAUAAGCUAUUCAGGGCCAGAGCAUGUCAAAUCUUCACAAGGUUUCACAAAUCUUUAAAGAUAUCUUGACUUUUGAUUUAAACUUGAAUUAAGUGUAGUUUUUAAGGGGAAUGUGAGGCACUGUAUCUGUGAAUGUCUGCUUGAAAAAAGUAUAGUUAGCAGGAUAAGGCAAACUUUAAUAAGGAGUGAUGUAACUAGAACAAGAGUCCAAGAUAUUCUAAGUCUACAGCUAUGCGUUUGGAAUUAUGCAGCGAGAUAAGUGGUGAAGAUGUAGUUUAGAUAUAUUAAUCCAAAUGGAAAAUUUCAACAUUAGAAAAACCAUUCAGGUUUUAAGUUCCCCAACACACUUAAAGAAUCUAACAGAAUAAGUGAAAGUUCCCACAAGAAAAGGAGUCAGUUCUGAAUUGUACAAUGAGAAUAUCACUAAAAGUAAAAGACGAACAUAACUUGUUAGAUAAUCUAGCAUAUCACCUUGCCAAUGCAAAAUUGUUCCUUUGGACUGUAUACUAAUGUACCUGUUGGAGAAGAAAAAAAGCAAAUCCCAGUUCCACCCUGAAAAGUGAUGCAGUUCCUACCAAUUUUGAGAUACAUAUGAAAUCAUCGGAAAUAAGACUGCAUUAUUUCACACUGAUACAGAAAUUUUCCAUUGACUCAAGAAAUAUAACUAUUCAAGCUCUAAAUAACCAUGAAACUAGCUUCUCAUUAGCUUUCCCUCAAUUUUUUCACCCUCACACACAAAAUUUCCCUCCCUGCAACCCAAAUUGUCAUGCUCACCUACCCAAAAACUAAGUUUUUUUUUUGUUUGUUUUUUGGUUUUUUUUUAAUACUUGGGAAGCAUAAGUAGAUAAAUUAUUGCCCCACAAGUGGAAGUUUAGAAAUACAGUAUUUUAUUUUUUUAACAUGUUAAAUUAGGGAAGCUUUCAAAGUUCAGGAAUGGACAGGAAAGUAAAUGCUGUAAUAAUAUCUUGUAUCACCUUGCCACAAAAGCAAAAUCAAGUUUUGAGAUUCCCACCUCAACAGUAGAACACAUUUUGAGGCCUGCAAUGAAUACACAUUUUCAGAAGUUUUAUUUUAAAUAUGUACUUUGCCAGUCAACCUUUUUAGGAAUCAGCAAGUGAUAAUGGGGCUAUCAUACCACAUCUCUAUAUAGGAUACCCAGGCUCAAGGCUAACCGUAGGCUCUUCUAUACCAGAUGCAAUAUCCAUUCUUUCCUACUCCUUCAUUCCACAAACUGCUUACACAUAUCCCCUUAAAGUGUUCAGAUAGGGAAACAUUCCAUCACAGCCUUGGACUAGUCUUUCACAUUAGAACUGGUUUUUGUGCACAUGGAAAGAUUUGUGUGAGAAAGGCAAUCCAAAACGGAGGCAUAAGUGAAACGUCCAUUAGCCCUGCUCAGAACAGUCCUAGUAGUUGU